RNA transcript from Stegostoma tigrinum, 6190 nucleotides. It is a transcript of the gene named tetraspanin 10, with no coding region annotated. The transcript has 4 exons. NCBI's taxonomy places the organism in Eukaryota, Metazoa, Chordata, Chondrichthyes, Orectolobiformes, Stegostomatidae. The record is from RefSeq and is a predicted model, not a curated record.
CAACUAUUUCGACAUUUUCAGUUGUUUUAAUUGCAUUUCAAUGAAAACGUGUAUUAACCUACGUAAUUUCCUAGCCUUCUCCUGCUACACAGUCCGGUGCAUUUAAAUGAAAUUUGCAACACAUUUCUGUGAAUCAAGUAACUCUUUUGACAAGAGUUUCAUGCGUGAAAUCAUGUCAGUGCAAUGCAGACCAAUCAUUAGCAGUGUCUACAAAAUGUCAGAACAAUGGACACUGUGAAAAAACAAAACGGGCUUUCAGUAAAAAACUUAGAUCCUCCCCUCUAAUCGCUUGGUUCUGACUUUCACAUGAUAUAAGAACUGUUUUUUUGGGGGGAGGGGUUUGUUACUUCUCGCUGACUCACUCAAUCACUAGUGAAACAACUGCUUUGACUUUUUGUGAAUACUUUCCGUUAAAGUUGACCAGAAAUUGAAAAGAACCAUGGUGCAGUUCAUGAUGAAAAUGAUGCUGUGUUUACCUUUCAUCAAGAAGGGAGAUGCGGAUGAACUCAGUCCUUUGAUUUUCAAGGAAGGCAUACUCCACGAUGAUAAACUGGGAGAGGCAUCGUGCAGUCGCUGUCCACAGUCUGAUGGUGCUGAAACUGUGAGAGAUGUGCGGUCAGAGCUUCACAACCCCCAGCGGCUCUGCAGAGUCAACAAAGUCAACGGUUGUAUCAAGUACCUCAUGGUCCUGUCCAACAUCAUAUUUACAGUGCUGGGCUACUUGAUUCUUGGGAUCGGGAUCUGGGGACUGAUAGACAAGGAAUCUCUGGACCUGAACAAAAUCAACUCUCUGAGCACAGACCCCAUGCUCGCGUUCGUUGUUGUGGGACUGAUUAUUAGUGUCCUUUCCUGCUCUGGCUGCCUGGGUGCUCUGAGGGAGAACCAGUACUUGCUGAAAUUCUUCACGGCUGGCAUCCUCAUGUUCGUGACGGCGGAGAUCAUAGGCGGGAGCGUGGUCUACGCCCAGAGGGACAGAAUCGAACGCUUCCUGAAGAACGGCAUGAUCCUGGGUGUCAAGAGAUAUCGGGACGAUCCUGAUGUCCGGUUCAUUAUCAACGAGAUCCAACAAGGAUUAAAGUGUUGCGGGGUUGAGUCUUAUCACGAUUGGCAAUUAAACCUGUAUUUUAACUGCAGCUCUCCAGGUGUCCAUGCAUGUGGAGCUCCUGCUUCAUGUUGCAUCAAUCCUCAAGAAAAUGGCACAGUUAUGAAUUCUCAGUGUGGCUUUGGCACUUUACACAUGGAAGAAGUGGCAGCCCAGAAUUAUAUUUACAUCCAAGGGUGCAUGUCACAGCUCACUAAUUGGCUUAACAGCAAUAUAGAUUCAAUUGGUGCAUUUGGUGUAAUUCUCAUGGUUAUUCAGCUACUUGGGUUAAUUUUUGCAAUGAAGAUACUGAGUGACAUUGAACUGAUCAAAGUACAUUGGUAGCAAAGUGUAAAACAGAACUUUCCUGCAACGCUUUAUGUUAAAUUUCAAAGAAUGGAUGGGUGGAAUCUGUUGACUGAACUGUUCUAUAUUAUUGUUGGCAUCCAAGCCUCACGUAGCCCACUCCUGAAAUGGAGCUUUAUAUAAAUCCCAGCUCACUCUGUUGUCUUUGACUGAAGUUUUUUUCUGAGAUUUUUCCUUCAACUUUAUUAUUUAUCCAAAAAAAUGGUCGUUAUGAGCAGAAUAUGGAGGUUAAAUGUACUGAGAUAAUUUAGGUGCAUGCAAAAAAUGUGAUUGCAAAUAUUAAAUAUUUUAUUCUGCAGCUCUGAAUGCAGUGUUAUUUAAUCUUUGCUCUUAACAAAUGUAGGUUUUCUCACUAAAUUAGACCACACAGACAAGCAGAGGUUCAAGGAUUUGUAAAUUACAGAUUUAUUCUAAUAUUGUAAGGUUAUACUUACCUCCAACAUAACGGUAUAAUUCAGAAGACCGAUUUGUUUAUGGAAGCUGUUGAAUUACCAGAAUGUUUUAACAGUCGUUUAUGUGAGUGAGAUGAGGAUUGUGUGAAUUGAAUGUAAAAGCAGAAAUUAUUGGAAAUACUCGGUGCAUCACUGAAUAUACACUGAGAGAAACAGACACUUGUUGACUAUUACCAGCAUUUUCUGUUUUUUUUUCAGAUUUUCAAGACCCUCUUGCCUUUGUGACUUGCGUAUUUGUGUUAAUAACCUUAGGAUAUGUCAUUUGAGUACACUGAUCUGCAGAAGCUCUGCAAGUCAGAUUAAAAUUCAAGAAUAUCCGAUGGCAUUUAUCAAGUUGUCUUGAGAACAUGAAAACUGAUGUCAAAAUAUAACUUUUUUUUUGUUACUAGGACGAAUUAAAUUAAAUUGUGCCAGCAACAGGAACACACAAAAAAGUAGCUAUGGAGUCAUGCACCCAACUGUUGGUGUGAUGUUAGUCACUGAGGUUGCCUUUCGAAGAAGGUGAAAGUGGAUUCAGGAGGAUCCUGGAUGACGGCAAGUUCAUGAGCUGCAACAGGCCACUUCAGAGGCUGAGGAGCACUUCAGGAGAGCUCACAGCUGCACGAUUUCUAGGGAGAACCAGAGCCUUUUGCCCCACCUCCAUUUCCUGGGCAUGAGCGAGGUGAAGUGUUGACUCAGGCUCCUUCUGUCUAGGGACACUAUGAUGGAACUGUGUUGGAGUGGGACCUGUGAGCCGUGGGACGAGGUGUGUGGCGGGGAACGCCAUCCUCUCCUGGUGGUUGUCAAUGUGACAGCUGUGUUGAGGUUCAAUGUGACUGGCUUCUUCCAGGGAGUGUUAGACGACCUGUGUGGGGGUUCUCUCAGCCGUCCACCUAGAAAUCCAUCAGGACAGUGACUGAUGCUAUCUGUACAAGAUUAUAGCAGUUCAUUUUAUUUCCUGACGAGGAAGUUAGUGCUGCAGCUGGGCAAUAGGAUUUCGGAAUGUAACUGGAUUUCCCCAGGAGCCAAGUACCAUUGACAGUACACACAUGGCACUGAGAAGGUUGUAUCACGAUGCUGAAAAUUCAUCAAAAGGGAAUGGUUGCAUUUGAUCAAUGUCCAAGUGAUCUAUGAACACUGUUACCACUUCUCAGAGUUGUGUGCUCAUUACCCUAGCAGCUGUCACAGCUCCUCAUCCUGGAGCACUUCCAUGUAUCUGUCAUUCCUCAAAGAAUUCCAAUAAAUUGGUUAAACAAAUUUCCCUUUCACAAAACCAUGAUGAUUCAUCCCAAUUACUUUAAUUGCUUUCCAAACGCCCUGUUAAAACCUCCUUAAUGAUGGGCUCUAACACCUUUGUUGGGUAUGUAAGAAAGAAAUAGAGUGGGAGAAUAAAAUAUAAAGGGAACAGAAAGCAGAGCUGGGGAAAUAUAAACUAGGGAAAAAUCGUUUCUUAGUAGUUAAUAAAGGUUGAAGUUUCAAAAGACAUUUAGUACUCAAAAACGUUCAUCUGCUCAGUUCCAUUUUAAUGAUAAGUGUUAGUGGCAAAACACUUCUUCUGGCUUUUUAAAAAAAUGCAGUCCAUGGUUUGAUUUUAUGAACCACUUUGCACAAUUUCAAUUUUUCUGAAUUUGAUUACAGAAAAUGAACAUACAAGUCUUUCUCUUUGUUGAAUGUACAAAAUUUAUAUCUAAGGGUUGGGAUAUGAUGAACUGGCAUGCGAUAUGUUCAAGGCAUGAGAAAUGUCCUGUUCAUGUAAUGUGAAAGGAAACUGGAAUUUAAUCUGAACAGUCAAUGAGAUAACUUUUGAGCAUUUUCCAAGAUUUUGUCAAAGUGUUACAUACAACUCUCUUCAUUACUCAGUGAGUUUAUUCAUGAGUGUGAAUAGGAACAGUAAAAUUAUCCAUACUAGGGAGGAGGUGAAAAAUUAUCUUGGAUAUCUACAGUCAAAUGUAAAUGAUAAUAUCUGGGAGUAUGGGCAGCAGGAGAGAAGAAGACUAGGCUCAGGAAUACUCACUGUCAAGGCUCAUGAACGAAUAAUGAGCAUUUGCCUCAGGCACAGGAAACAGUGGACCUAGAUCACAGGACACAGCCAAUCUGACUGAGACGAAUGGUGAGAUUUGGAGAGUGAAGGAUUUCCAUAAAAUGUUUACGUUAAAUUUUAAAAUGGUACAUUGUUCAUUUUUGCAAAAUCAGGAGAAACAAACACUGUAGAGCAAAUGACAAGGAAUUGGUGAAGACUGGCCUGAUUUUAACUUACUGAGAGCCUAUGCUCUUGCACAGACUUAAAAUCAGGGUGAUUAAGCCUAAAUUACACUUCUGGAUUAUGAAUUUAAAUGAUCCAUAUGCCCAACUUUAUCCAUAAUUACAUUGUGAAAUGUCAGUCUUAGGUAACCCUAUUUCAAGAAGGGAAACCAUUUUUAUAGCACCAAUUCUCUUUGCUGCUGGACAAAUAAACAUAUGAACUGUUGGAUGUUAGGCCAAGCAGCUGAAAUGUAUAUUUUCAACACUGACCCUGACCAUUUUAAAUUGAUUUUAGUUUUGAAUUGUUUAGUUAUAAUGCCAGUCUGCCAAGAGCCAUAGGCUGUGACUUCUGAAGGCCCUGCCGAACUGAUUGUGUUCAAAUUGUGUCCUGCGGUGCUGAACCCUGGGGGCAGCAGGUCACUGGGAAGACAUUAUAUUUUACAAGGCUUAUAGAUACCCUUGUCAGUCAAUUGUUCCACUUCCAGUUGUUCUCAGUAUACUAAAACCCCAAAUGCAUUCAUACAACCAGAAAGAGAUGCCUAGUUUCUCCCUCCAAGAAAUCAUUGGGACUGCCCUGACGUACCCAGUAUUGAACUGAGAAACAUUUUUAAGAAGGACUAAUCUAUUCUUUGAAAGUGCCAUUCUGUUUCCCUAACCUCCUCCCAUUUUAUUCUUGGUCUCCUGGUUUUGCCAAAGAACACUCACAAGAGUCUGUUGAUUUGAGAAAAACAUUAACUUCAUAUAACAAUACUUAGUGAUGCUUCAUCUUGCCGCAGUGCUGCAAGAAAUAACAAAAUUUCAUGAUUUUUAUAAUUUCCUGUUCUGAUUUAAAAAUAAAGGUAGUUGCCAUAGUCCCAGGGGACCAUAAGGUUUUUAUGAUGUAUACUGUGCCUAAUCAGCAUAUCACACUGCCAAGCUUUACUCGUUAUACUACAGCUACUGCUGCACUUUGUGUGGCCUCAUCUCUCUCAGCAUUCUGGUCAUGAAUAUUAAUGUAAUAAAACAGGAAGUCCUGAUAUAAGGAUUGCCCAUACCCCUCAUCAUGUGGGCCUAUUGGUAUUGUAAAAACAAAAAGUAAUUGUUAUCAUACUAGACUAACAGCCGUGGACAUUGUCCCACCCCAGUAAUUUGACUGUUUAUUUCUUGACUUAUGUGUUUACUCACAGGAUAUGAAUGCAGCUGGUAGAGCCGACUUUUAUUGCCUGUCACUCUGAUGCAUAAUCUGUUUUUUUUUAAAAAAGUGAUUUUAGUUGAUAGACAGUCAUUAUACAGUAGGCUGGGAAGAACACCCCUUUGAUUCUUUGAAUUAAUAUCCAGGGAUCCUUUACACUCACUAUGAUUUCUGCUUGUCUCUGAUUAGUUAGUGAUGAACAAAAUGGUUUGUAAAAUAUUUAAAUUCUCUACUUAGAACAAAUACAGUUUGAAACAUUUCAUUCCUUUACCAACAGAUGGGCACUGCCAUUAUUAUUUUGUUUAGUACAAGUUUGAAGGGAAGAUGUCAAUGUUGCUUUGGAUGUGCUGCAAGACUUUUCAUUCAAUGUUUUAUCAUCUACAAUCUUCCAUCUAUGAGGAAGAAUUUUCAGCAAUGGUUUAUUAUAUAUUGCAAUAUUUUAAUUGCUGGUCAAGUGCAGUGCUUGCUGUUACUGAAUCAAUGCGAUACUCUGAAGCGCCAGCUCCUAAACGUUUUUGAGGGUUGUACUAUAACUGCAGCUGGAAUCUGCGAAAAUGUUCUCAAGAAAGAAAGACUUCUCAUUCAGCUGAAUCAUUAUACGGUACCUUUCACAAUCUCAGGAGACUUCAAAGUGUUUCACUGAAUAAUAAAGUAUUUCUAAAUAACCACUGCUGAUAUUGGUGUGGAAAAUGAAUGUAUGUUUCAUCCCCACCUUGAUGAAGGCUAAGAAAGCUGUGUCUGAAAAAUGGCUACUGUGCGUUCAAAAUGCUAGUUGUUAGUGUUACUUAAUAAAUGUUAACUUGGAGUUUGUUACAUAUUAUUGUAAGUAUAGUAUUCAAUGUGCAAUAGCAACUUUUUGUAUAUUUUGACCGAAUGCAAACAAAAUAUUUGGCCACCUGA